This 365-nucleotide ribosomal RNA is filed under the name uncultured cyanobacterium. RNAcentral describes it as "bacterial SSU rRNA". It matches the Rfam family "Bacterial small subunit ribosomal RNA", at positions 407 to 786 of the family's 1533-position model. The record is from RNAcentral. Lineage: Bacteria; Bacillati; Cyanobacteriota.
GAAGAAGGCUCUUGGGUUGUAAACUCCUUUUCUCUGGGAAGAACAAAAUGACGGUACCAGAGGAAUCAGCAUCGGCUAACUCCGUGCCAGCAGCCGCGGUAAGACGGAGGAUGCAAGCGUUAUCCGGAAUGAUUGGGCGUAAAGCGUCCGCAGGUGGCAGUUCAAGUCUGCUGUCAAAGACCGGGGCUUAACCUCGGAAAGGCAGUGGAAACUGAACAGCUAGAGUAUGGUAGGGGCAAAGGGAAUUCCUGGUGUAGCGGUGAAAUGCGUAGAGAUCAGGAAGAACAUCGGUGGCGAAGGCGCUUUGCUGGACCAUAACUGACACUCAGGGACGAAAGCUAGGGGAGCGAAAGGGAUUAGAUACG